Molecule: long non-coding RNA, 724 nt
Organism: Raphanus sativus (radish)
Lineage: Eukaryota; Viridiplantae; Streptophyta; Magnoliopsida; Brassicales; Brassicaceae
Exons: 4
Source: RefSeq, a predicted model, not a curated record
CCUAAUCUCUUUGUCGUCGUUUUCAGUCUUCAUCUUCUUGCCUCCUUUUUAAAAUAUCAAAGUGCCUUCUAGGGUUUCGAAUAUCAAAGUGCCUUCUUGGGUUUCGAUUUGUCUGUUCAUCUCGUGUCUUCUACUUCUUCGUCUUCACUCUCUCUUCCUCGCAUCUUAGAGACAGUCAAGUAUGAAACGAGUGUAGAGGAAGCAAGACACUCUCUCUUACUCGCAUCCAUUUACGGUCAAGGGGAGGGGAUGAUGGUUUUGUAGCCGUUCGUUUGUAGUGGAAGAAAGAGGAUCGUGGCUUCUAUCAUCUCAAGGGAUGGAUUCUGAAUCUGUGCACACUAUGGCGCUUCUUGAAGCUCAACGUGAAUACAUGGAUAUGAAUGAUGAAGAUGCUGAAUUUGAGGAAGAUGAAGAUGCUGAAUUUGAUGUCGAUGAGGAGUUGGCAGAAGCAAACGUUCAGUGUGAAACACAAGCUACUGCAUCAACACAAGCAGCAAAACCUCAACGUAAGCGUCGAAAAACCUCUGCUGUUUGGAAAGAUUUUGAACCAGUGGGGAUAGAGGAUGAUGGAAAAGAAAGAGCUAGGUGCAUUCACUGUGAUUCAAAAUUAAUUUGUGGUAAUACUCAUGGUACAAAUCAGUUUGAUAGGUUUCAUGUUUCAAUUAUGUUUUAUAUGACAGAUUUCAGGUUUUAUUUAUUUUAUGAAGCAGAUAGGUUAUGUUCA